GACGAACGCUGGCGGCGUGCUUAACACAUGCAAGUCGUACGGUAAGGCCCUUUCGGGGGUACACGAGUGGCGAACGGGUGAGUAACACGUGAGUAACCUGCCCACAACUUUGGGAUAACGCUAGGAAACUGGUGCUAAUACUGGAUAUGUUCUCCUGCUGCAUGGUGGGGGUUGGAAAGCUCCGGCGGUUGUGGAUGGACUCGCGGCCUAUCAGCUUGUUGGUGGGGUAGUGGCCUACCAAGGCGGCGACGGGUAGCCGGCCUGAGAGGGUGACCGGCCACAUUGGGACUGAGGUACGGCCCAGACACCUACGGGAGGCAGCAGUGGGGAAUAGUGCACAAUGGGCGCAAGCCUGAUGCAGCAACGCCGCGGGCGGGAUGACGGGCUUCGGGUUGUAAACCGGUUUAAGCAGGGACGAAGCUUUUUGUGACGUUACCUGCAGAAGAAGCACCGGCUAACUACGUG
This 465-nucleotide ribosomal RNA is filed under the name uncultured bacterium. Its description in RNAcentral is "partial 16S ribosomal RNA". It matches the Rfam family "Bacterial small subunit ribosomal RNA", at positions 28 to 507 of the family's 1533-position model. The record is from RNAcentral.